This 3653-nucleotide unclassified non-coding RNA is filed under the name Hevea brasiliensis (rubber tree). Lineage: Eukaryota; Viridiplantae; Streptophyta; Magnoliopsida; Malpighiales; Euphorbiaceae. The record is from RNAcentral.
AGAGAGAGAGAGAGAGAGAACUUUCAUAAACCAACAAACAGAAACGAUAGCAAAGCAAUGCAAGCCCCAAAAUAGAGGGAACUCAAGAUUCUUGCCAUGAACUUUACCUGCUACAUCUUUCUGGCUAAAACGAAACAGAAGCAGCAUUUAUCAUCUUUUUAGUGGGAUUCAUUUCAUGGCUACUAAGCUUGUCCAACCCGCUUCUCAGGUGCUUCCUCCCGUACCCAGAAUCACAAAGAUUAUAACAAGUCACAAGUCAUUCCUAGCCAUUCAUCCAUGGACGAGGAACACAAGAAUUGAUGAUGGGUUUAUGCCAAUUCAUAUCACCAAAGUUGCAGAAAAAAGCUCUGGCUUAGUUGGGGACAACAAGGAGAUGGAACAACAUGAAAAAGAUAGCAGGACAGUUUCACAGAUCAAAGAAGACCUUUACCAGGCAGUAGAAGGUAUGCCCCCAUAAUUUUAAACCCACAUUUUUUGACAUUACAUAACUUAUUGAACUUCAUUAGUAGUUCGAAAUGAAUACUCAAAUGGGUUGCAUUUAAAUAUGAUAUAGUUUUAUCUGCAAGGAAAUCUGAAAUUAGUGAAAAGGAGUUAUAACUUGACUGGCUGGAUAAUGUAUAGAUGUUAUGUGGCACCAGUGAACCAUUUAUUGCUGCAUCGUUUUAUUGCAAGAUACUUGGAUUAGAUCUCUCAUGCUUCAUAUCCUGCUUGGAUCUGGAGUUCCUCUUGUUCUCAUAUACACAUUGUUGUAAUUAUGAGGAUAUUAGUUUUCAGUUAAUGAUUAUUUACUUGGGAACUUGGAAGUUAUGAACCAUUACAAAGUUUCUGAUGUCUCAGUAGAGUAGAUACUUUCAGCCAGCAUCUCCAUUCCAGAUUCCUUAGUUUGUUCUGCAUAAAUUACAGAUGAAACUUUCAUUAACAACUUAACUUAUAUAGGGUUAUUCCUCCUGUAUAGUGGUAAGGUUAUCUGUGAAAGUGUUAAACUAGAGGCCAAAGUUAACUUCCAUAUUUAGUUUGCCUCUAAUUUUAGUUUACGACACUAAGGCUCUGUUUAUUUUAUGGAAAAUAUACUGGUCAAAUAGAAAACUAAUUCAUUUAAGAAAAAUGACUUUUACUUUUCAAAAAAGAGAGUCAUUUUCUAUUUUCAAGACUUUGAUAAUCUUGUUAAAAUGUGAAAAUGUUUAUAUAAAUGAAAUAAAUACAUAUCAUUAGUUUAACAUUGCAAUCAAAUAAUAGAAAAUAUUUUCAUGCAAAAUUUUUUUUAGAAAACAUUUUCCAUGGAAAAUAUUUUCUAGAUACAAAUUAUUUUUUGUAAAACAGUCGGAGCCCAAAAGUGAAAAAGAUUUAGAUACUUGUUGCAAACUGCAGGGUUAGCACUGAUUGCUUAGCUUUAUGCUUCUGGAUAGAAAUACACUUUUGGGAUUAGUUUGUCACUAUACAGUUUUGGGAAUUAGCACUGAUUGCUGGUGGGAAAUGUUUGGAUUCAGAAAUGAAAUAUAUUAUCAAUGUGAGUAUGAUUGCUAAAAUUGAUAUACAUAUAAAAGGUUUGGAUUGAAAAUUAAAUGAAUUGAUUAAAAUUGGUAAUAUGGGCAAAUAUUUUAAUUAUUUUUUUGACAUCACAUAAUGAAUUUCAUCAGCUAUUUGAAAUGAAUACUGAAAUGGGUUGCAUUCAAAUUUUGAUACAAGGAAUUAACAGAGGGAUUUUUGGAAUUCCUUCUGCAAAGAAAUCAGAAAUUCAUGGUUUAGUGGAGCUAUUAGAGUCUCAGAAUCCAACUCCAGAUCCCACUCUAAAUCUAGAUAAGGUAAAUCCAUUCAGCUUUCUGUGAUCGUGCAAGCUUACAUAAAAAUCAAGUAGUUACAGUUCUUUUUUCUAAAAUUGAAAGGUGGAUGGUUGCUGGAAACUUUUGUACAGUACAAUUACUAUACUGGGGUCAAAAAGAACAAAGCUAGGACUCAGAGAUUUCAUCAGUUUGGGGGACUUCUUCCAGAAAAUUGAUGUUUCUAAGGCCAAAACGAUUAAUUUGAUCAAGUUCAACGUUAGAGGAUUGAAUUUGUUGAAUGGACAGCUGACAAUUGAAGCCUCUUUCAAGACCUCAUCUAACUCAAGAGUUGAAAUAAGUUUUGAGAAUUCAACUAUCACUCCUCAUCAGGUAUGCCAGAUCAGUCACCAUUUUUAAGGGAAAAUUACUAUUUAGUCACUCUAUUUUUAUAAAACUAAUUAAUUGGUCCUAUUAUUGUGAAAAAUAUGUUAGUCCCUGUAUUUUUGUUUUGUUUACUCUUUAGUCUCUUUAUCUAAUUUAAAUCAAGUUUCUGUUAGUAAAUGCAUUCAACGGAGAGAGAAAUUACCAUUAGGGGACUAAAUAGUUUAAGACUUUAAAAUAAAGGGACUUUAAAAUAAAGGGACUAUAUAGUUGUCAUUUUCAAAUUACAGAGACUGAAUUAAAUUUAAACUAACGAUUAAAAUAACCGAAGAGACUAAGGAGUAAACAAAAUAAAAAUACAGAGACUAACUAAUGUAUUUUCCAAAAUAAAAGAACUAAGCAGUUAAUUUCGUUAAAAUGGAGAGACUAAAUAAUUAUUAUUUUUUAAUUAUGCUCAAAGACUGAUUAAAUGGAUUAUCAUAGGGAGCUUUCUUGUUUGACUAACUAAAAAAUGCAUAUGUUUUGUUGUUCGCUAAACAUCAACAGUUGAUGAACAUGUUUCGGAAGAACUACGAUCUUCUUCUUGGCAUCUUCAACCCCGAGGGUUGGCUCGAGAUCACGUAUCCUUUUAGCCUUUCUUUGUUUGUGUUGUGUUUUGGUAGUUGGAGAUUUGAAAUGAAUGAAUUUAAAUUUGGCCUUUUCAAUCUAAAUUAUACAUUGUAUAGAUCGAUGAACAGUAGAAACUUUCUUGAAAAUGAAUUUCAAAUCCUCAUAUCAAAUAUUUCUAUAAAAUUUAGUUGAAACAUCUGUUUUCCUCCGAUUUCUCAAGUCUAUCCUUUUUUUAAUUAACACGAUUGAAAAACAAUCUUUGAGAACAGUAAUUUUAUGGGAGUUCUAUAAUCGCAAAUGAUGCGUUUGAUCCUUGACUUGAUUACAAUAGAUAUGUUGAUGAUAACUUAAGGAUAGGGAGGGAUGACAAUGGCAACAUCUUCGUAUUAGAGAGAUCAUAAAGAAAUUAAUGAACACUAAGUACCUAUAAGCUUGAGAGAAACUCAAGUUUAGAACUUUGUUUUUAUUAUUAUUGAUAUACAUUCCUGCAAAUUGCUAUUUUUUUUAAUAUUUCAGCUGAAAUUUUACAUUUUCAUGUUUUAAACAAAUGGUUAAAAAGGGAAAUUUGCCACACAUUGCUGAGUGAUUGAUAAGGGAACAUAUAAUUCCUUGAGAGAAGGUUUUGGCGUGAAUAACGGCCCCAGUUUGAUUAAAGUGAAUUGCAUGGAAUAAGGCUACUAACUCAAUUAUAAUCGAAAAAUCAAAUCAAAUUAAAUUUGAUUUUUUUUUAAAUUUAACUAUUUAAUUUAUUCAUUCCGAUUUAAUUAUUAAAAAUAUCAGUUAAUUCGAUUUUGAAGGAAAAUACAAAAUAAUUGAAUCAAAUGGAAACAAAUAUAUAUGUAUAUAUAGUUUUUCAUCUUACCGUACGCUCAACAUUGAUUUACUCAUCAUAUAAACUCAUGA